UCAGCCAUUUUAUCUUCUACCAUUCAAAGUCGCAAUAGAAUAUAUA
This 46-nucleotide transfer RNA is filed under the name Chalcolestes parvidens. RNAcentral describes it as "partial tRNA-Tyr". Lineage: Eukaryota; Metazoa; Arthropoda; Insecta; Odonata; Lestidae. The record is from RNAcentral.